GGACCCGCACAAGUAGUGGAGCAUGUGGUUUAAUUCGAAGAUACGCGCAGAACCUUACCAACACUUGACAUGUUCGUCGCGACUCUAAGAGAUUAGAGUUUUCGGUUCGGCCGGACGAAACACAGGUGCUGCAUGGCUGUCGUCAGCUCGUGUCGUGAGAUGUUGGGUUAAGUCCCGCAACGAGCGCAACCCUCACUUUUAGUUGCCAUCAUUAAGUUGGGCACUCUGAAAGAACUGCCAGUGAUAAGCUGGAGGAAGGUGGGGAUGACGUCAAGUCCUCAUGGCCCUUACGUGUUGGGCUACACACGUGCUACAAUGGCAUCUACAACAGGAAGCAAAACGGCAACGUUAAGCAAAUCCCGAAAAGAUGCCUCAGUUCGGAUUGCACUCUGCAACUCGAGUGCAUGAAGCUGGAAUUACUAGUAAUCGUGGAUC
RNAcentral lists this ribosomal RNA (435 nucleotides) under uncultured bacterium. Its description in RNAcentral is "bacterial SSU rRNA". It matches the Rfam family "Bacterial small subunit ribosomal RNA", at positions 917 to 1350 of the family's 1533-position model. The record is from RNAcentral.